UUUAGGUCGACCCGCUGAACUUAAGCAUAUCAAUAAGCGGAGGAAAAGAAACUAACAAGGAUUCCUUUAGUAGCGGCGAGCGAACAAGGAUUAGCCCAGCACCGAAUCCUAUGACUAACGUCAUUAGGAAAUGUGGUGUUCGGAUCAAGUCUUAUGGCAUACAGGAGUUGUUCCAAGUCCACGUGAUUGUGGCUUAAAGUCCACAGAGGGUGUAAGUCCCGUAUGAACAAUACUGUAUGUUUAGGAUUUGCUCCUAGAGUCGGGUUGUUUGGGAUUGCAGCCCAAAUCGGGUGGUAAACUCCAUCCAAGGCUAAAUACAACACGAGUCNNNNNAGCGAACAAGUACCAUGAGGGAAAGUUGAAAAGAACUUUGAAGAGAGAGUUCAAUAGUGCGUGAAACCACUCAAAGGUAACCAGGCAGAACUGAAUGAAGAGUUGCAUAUUUGUACUUUGUUAAGUUUAAUGCAUGCCUUGAAGACAUUGUCGUGCUUCGGGUAUACAGAUGCGAUUUGACAUUGUGCUAUUGUGUGACUCUGACACCAUGAUCGAUCAUGUAGCUAGCCUCCAGGCCUGCAAGCUGCCAAAUCAUGUUGUGUGGUUUGGUUUUAUAAGCUUUUCUGUGAGUGCUGACUGAGAAUCGAUAAGCGACGCUAGCCAUUGCUACAAUAAAGACACAUUGUUGUGUGAAGAUGAGAUAUUAACUCAUUGAGAGUUGGUAAUUCAUUCCGAGCAUGAUAAUGUAUCCUCUGAUUGUUGCGUCAAAAAUCCAUGGUGCAAUUGUAGGUAUUCUGCCUGACCCGUCUUGAAACACGGACCAAGGAGUUUAACAUGUGCGCGAGUCAUUGGGUGUUACGAAACCUAAAGGCGCAGUGAAAGUAAAGGUUGGAUUAUUCCAGCUUAGGUGGGAUCUUGGCUUUCAAUGUGUGGCUAUCCAUACAUGGGCUAGGCGCACCACCAGCUCGUCCUAUGCUUUAUCAAGUGGGGCGACGCAAGAGCGCACAUGUUGAGACCCGAAAGAUGGUGAACUAUGCUUGUGUAGGUUGAAGCCAGAGGAAACUCUGGUGGAGGACCGUAGCGAUUCUGACGUGCAAAUCGAUCGUCAAACAUGAGUAUAGGGGCGAAAGACUAAUCGAACCAUCUAGUAGCUGGUUCCCUCCGAAGUUUCCCUCAGGAUAGCUGGCAUUCGGGAAACAAACAGUUUUAUCCGGUAAAGCGAAUGAUUAGCAGUAUUGUGGGAUAAUAUAUCCUCAAAUGAUUCUCAAACUUUAAAUGGGUGAGAUGCUCAACUCUCUUAAAUCAUGGAGUUGGGCUUUUGAAUGUGAGUGCCUAGUGGGCCAUUUUUGGUAAGCAGAACUGGCGAUGUGGGAUGAACCAAACGUCUGGUUACGGAGCCGAACAUAACGCUCAUGAGAUACCACAAAAGGUGUUGGUUGAUUUUGACAGCAGGACGGUGGCCAUGGAAGUCGGAAUCCGCUAAGGAGUGUGUAACAACUCACCUGCCGAAUCAACCAGCCCUGAAAAUGGAUGGCGCUCGAGCGUUGGUCCUAUACCAGACCGUUACCACGAGAUGUAUGCAAAGUAAGUGGUAACGUGUAGGAGGGCACCGUAAUGAGCGUUGAAGCUUUGACCGUAAGGUUGGGUGGAGCCAUUACGGGUGCAGAUCUUGGUGGUAGUAGCAAAUAUUCAAGUGAGAACCUUGAAGACUGAAGUGGAGAAGGGUUC
RNAcentral lists this ribosomal RNA (1722 nucleotides) under Djeziraia euxinica. RNAcentral's name for it is "eukaryotic LSU rRNA". It matches the Rfam family "Eukaryotic large subunit ribosomal RNA", at positions 16 to 1509 of the family's 3401-position model. The record is from RNAcentral. Lineage: Eukaryota; Metazoa; Platyhelminthes; Rhabdocoela; Polycystididae.